ACCACUGGCAGGACACCCAAGCUAGCCCGCCAGGCCUCCAUAGAGCUGCCCAGCAUGGCCGUGGCCAGUACCAAGAGUCGGUGGGAGACGGGUGAGGUACAGGCUCAGUCUGCAGCCAAGACUCUGUCCUGCAAGGAUAUUGUGGCUGGAGACAUGAGCAACAAAAGCUUCUGGGAGCAGAAGGGAGGCUCCAAGACCUCAUCAACAA
This 208-nucleotide long non-coding RNA is filed under the name Homo sapiens (human). Its description in RNAcentral is "non-protein coding lnc-CDH6-14:2". The record is from RNAcentral. Lineage: Eukaryota; Metazoa; Chordata; Mammalia; Primates; Hominidae.